AUUGAACGCUGGCGGCAUGCCUUACACAUGCAAGUCGAACGGCAGCACGGGUGCUUGCACCUGGUGGCGAGUGGCGAACGGGUGAGUAAUACAUCGGAACAUGUCCUGUAGUGGGGGAUAGCCCGGCGAAAGCCGGAUUAAUACCGCAUACGAUCUACGGAUGAAAGCGGGGGACCUUCGGGCCUCGCGCUAUCGGGUUGGCCGAUGGCUGAUUAGCUAGUUGGUGGGGUAAAGGCCUACCAAGGCGACGAUCAGUAGCUGGUCUGAGAGGACGACCAGCCACACGGGGACGGAGACACGGCCCAGACUCCUACGGGAGGCAGCAGUGGGGAAUUUUGGACAAUGGGCGAAAGCCUGAUCCAGCAAUGCCGCGUGUGUGAAGAAGGCCUUCGGGUUGUAAAGCACUUUUGUCCGGAAAGAAAUCCUUGGCCCUAAUACGGUCGGGGGAUGACGGUACCGGAAGAAUAAGCACCGGCUAACUACGUG
RNAcentral lists this ribosomal RNA (486 nucleotides) under uncultured bacterium. Its description in RNAcentral is "partial 16S ribosomal RNA". It matches the Rfam family "Bacterial small subunit ribosomal RNA", at positions 29 to 507 of the family's 1533-position model. The record is from RNAcentral.